Long non-coding RNA from Pseudophryne corroboree (corroboree frog), 1459 nucleotides. RefSeq lists it as uncharacterized. The transcript has 3 exons. Lineage: Eukaryota; Metazoa; Chordata; Amphibia; Anura; Myobatrachidae. The record is from RefSeq and is a predicted model, not a curated record.
AUCCGUCCUUAUAGAGGAUGGAUGCUGCUGAUUGAACAGUAGGGGGAGCCGGAGAGCACAGCUCCUCUCAGGCAGUCUGCAUGUGGCUUUGUGACGGAGAGCUGGUCGGGUGAGGCAGUGACUGUCUCUCUACUGACUGCAACAUCUAGAAGUGCAGACGACCCGGCACUCCUCACGCUCCCCAGCGUCACGCUUGUGCUCCCGUGCCCUCACCUCCUGGGACCUGGAUCCCAUAAAUGGCAAUGCAAAUAAGUGCGGCACUGGGAGACUUGUAACUGAAGCCUGGAAGUGUGGAGAUUCCCACCACCCCAGACCUCAGCAUCAUCCACAAUACGGAGGAAUCCCAGCCCUAAGUUCCUACCUCUGAAACACCAGCUACCCCUGAUACCUCUGCAUCACCAGCUCCUCCGCUGCGCCCCCGGAAGAGAACCCCCCCCUUUCCCCCCCAAAAAAAACACCGCCCAGGAGGGCAAAGACCUCAUUUUUGAGGAAAUCAAGUCAAGACUUGCCCAGCCCCCCCAACCACCACCACCACCACCACUACUCAAAAUUUGGGCAAUGCGUAACCUACCCCGGGUCAAGCGGAGCAGAUUCAGCGUCUCAAUUUAAAGAUGCUGAACAAAGCACGAAAAUCAAAACUACAUGAUGAUGUCGUACUAUUCGACCGCCGUCCUUUCACUCUUCCUCCCAUCCAACACCAUCCUAUUCCACCCACCCAACCCCAUCUCAUUCAUCCCACCCAACCACAGCCUACUCCCCCACACACCUGCUUCUCAGCCAUAUACUCUGCUGUGCUGGAGGCUUGGGAGGACAUGCCCCAGUUUAAAAAUUUGUAGGCUUCUUAUAAUUCCCAAUAAAUAUGUUGCGGUAUAGGCUAUAUGGUGUUUUGGAGGCAGAUUUUUGGGGGAGGAUACACGCAUGCUGUAGGUGCAUAAUAGUGGGGCCGGGCCCAUUCAUUCUGCACUUUACAGCAUGUGUGUAUUCUCCCAAUCCAAUCUGUGCCCAAAACACCAUAUAGCCCUCCAUGUUAGGAGUGAAAGUACCGCCCCAUAUUUAUUGGGAAUUAGAACAUUGUCAAGGGUGUUGUUUUAAAGUUAUUAAUUCCCAAUAAAUUGUUGCGGUAUAGGCUAUAUGGUGUUUUGGGGGCAUAUUUUUGGGGGAGGAUACACGCAUGCUGUAGGUGCAUAAUAGUGGGGCCAGGCCCAUUCAUUCUGCACUUUAAUGCAUGUGUGUAUUCUCCCAAUCAAAUCUGUGCCCAAAACCCCAUAUAGCCCUCCGUCUUAGGAGUGAAAGUACUGCACCAUAUUUAUUGAGAAUUAAAAGUAAAAUAAACUGUUAUUUAAUCAUUUUAAUUAUUUCAUAUAUAUAUAUAUAUAUAUAUAUAUAUAUAUAUAUAUCCAAAUUGUGAUAUGAUGUUUUUUACACUUUUAUGUGCCUUGUUGGCACAUAAUUGCAUAAA